GGCUCGGUAACUUAGUUGGUAUAGUGCUCGUCUAGCAUAAAAAAGUCCUGGGUUCGAAUCCCAGGUGACCA
This 71-nucleotide transfer RNA is filed under the name Aedes aegypti (yellow fever mosquito). RNAcentral describes it as "partial tRNA-OTHER". Lineage: Eukaryota; Metazoa; Arthropoda; Insecta; Diptera; Culicidae. The record is from RNAcentral.